GACGAACGCUGGCGGCAUGCCUAACACAUGCAAGUCGAACGAUUGCCUUCUGGUGAUAGUGGCUCACGGGUUCGUAACGCGUGGGAAUCUGCCUUUAUAUUCGGCAUAACAGCUGGAAACGGCUUCUAAUAACUGAGGAUAUCACCAGAUCAAAGCUUGAUCGGCUGAGUAUGAGCCCGCGUGGGUUUAGGUGGUUGGUUGGGUUAAGGCCUACCAAGCUGACGAUCCAUAGCUGGGCUGAGAGGAUGCUAAGCUACACUGGGACUGAGACACGGCCCCGAAUCGUACGGGAGGGAGCAGAGGGGUAUAUUGGACGAUGGGGGCAAGCCUGAUCAAGCAGUGCCGGGUGAGUGAUGAAGGCCGUAGGGUUGUAAAGCCCUUUUACACGAGAAGAUAAUGACUGUACCGGGAGAAUAAGCCCCGGCUAACUACGUG
RNAcentral lists this ribosomal RNA (435 nucleotides) under uncultured bacterium. RNAcentral's name for it is "partial 16S ribosomal RNA". It matches the Rfam family "Bacterial small subunit ribosomal RNA", at positions 28 to 507 of the family's 1533-position model. The record is from RNAcentral.